This 465-nucleotide ribosomal RNA is filed under the name uncultured bacterium. RNAcentral describes it as "partial 16S ribosomal RNA". It matches the Rfam family "Bacterial small subunit ribosomal RNA", at positions 28 to 507 of the family's 1533-position model. The record is from RNAcentral.
GACGAACGCUGGCGGCGUGCUUAACACAUGCAAGUCGAGCGGAAAGGCUCUGCUUUCAGGGUACUUUAGUGGCGAACGGGUGAGUAACUCGUGGGUGAUCUGCCCUUCUUUUCGGGAUAAGCCUGGGAAGCUGGGUCUAAUACCUACUAGGUGCCAUCUUUAGUGUGAUGUUUUGAGAUUUUUUUCGGUUUAGGAUGAGCUCGCGGCCUAUCCGCUUUUUGGUGGGGUAAUGGCCUACCAAGGCGGAGACGGGUAGGCGGCCUCAGAGGGUGGCCGGGCACAUUGGGACUGAGAGACGGCGCAGACGCCAACGGGAGGCAGCAGAGGGGAAUAUGGCACAAUGGGGGCAAGCGUGAGGAAGAGACGCUGCGUGGGGGAUGACGGGCUGCGGGUGGUAAACGCCGGUGGCGAGGGAAGAAGCAUUUUGUGACGGUACCUAGAUAAGAAGCACCGGCUAACUACGUG